UUCCCUGGGGGUCUACGUCACGAGAAGACAUUAACACCAGUUUUCUCAUCUUAAAGUCCUGUUUCUACAACUCAUCAUUGAUCUCAUUGGUGCUUCUUAGAGAUCUUCCAGGAUUUCUUUUUCCUAAUCUCCCAAAUUGGAAGACGAUGCAUUUUUGGUUUUAUAUGAAAAAUGGGCAAAUGGCAUCUCUUCUCUCCCAUUCUCGUCCUGACCUACCACUCCUCGCAUUUACAUCGCCAUUUUCUGUGCACAGGCGCUUUCACUUGCAGGGGGGUUUGAUACUAUUCUACCUUCUCUCUUUUUUUCCCUGUGAUGUCAAGGCAAGCAAUCUAAAAGGAACUUUUUUGGCUUCUUAAUUCAAGCGAGGGAUCAUUGUGUCUGGUGAACUUAUCAUUGUUGCCUGUCCUUCAGUCUGUUUGAAGUGAUUGAUGUCCCUGAGCGUAAUGUUCUUCUGGUUAUACUUAUACGGUUUCCCUCUAAAGACCCAUCUCAUUUUAGGUCAGGUAUUUCUUAAUUUAUGCACACUAAUCAAUCAAGAUACCCAAUAAAGCGAGUUAUGAACAUGACAAAUUCUGAUCGUCCAAGGAUGUGAAGGAGAUCAAUAUUGAUACCACCUGCUAUUCCUUUUCAGCUUCAUCGAGGCGAAACUCUAGCUAGAGAAAUGCGCCUUCAGAGUCAGUACAUGCUUUACUUCAUUUCUUUUUCCCUGUACGCUGACAGUAUCAACAGAUGCAAGUAUAUUUUUGCUAGUUGUGAACUUGUAGUUUAGCUCUGGCAGUGGUCGUGGUAGGAAGGAAUUUUGGACAGGCAAUAAGAUUGGCCUGUACGCUCGCUUGUCACUCUGUUUCUGGUCAGCACUUAGCAAUCUUGUAAUCUAGUAUACAUCAAGGACCAUUACUCUUGUUUUGAUUUGCAGAGAUCAAAUUGAUUGGAAUCAAUUGUACAGAUUUUUUUU
Populus euphratica (Euphrates poplar) is the source of this 955-nucleotide long non-coding RNA. RefSeq lists it as uncharacterized. The record is from RefSeq and is a predicted model, not a curated record. NCBI's taxonomy places the organism in Eukaryota, Viridiplantae, Streptophyta, Magnoliopsida, Malpighiales, Salicaceae. The transcript is spliced from 2 exons.